CGCCGCGGCACUCCAUUUUAUUACAAUGCCCCGGCGUACAUAAGAUAAGGAGGAUUCAUAUCCGCGUGCCGGCGGUGCGUCAGUGUGGAGACCUGGCGUAAUGCCGCGCUCUCCUCAGCGGGAGGCGGCGAGGCGCGUCAUUGCGGAGGCAGGCGCGUUACGGCAA
RNAcentral lists this non-coding RNA (166 nucleotides) under chicken gut metagenome. RNAcentral describes it as "malK-I RNA". It matches the Rfam family "malK-I RNA", at positions 9 to 169 of the family's 181-position model. The record is from RNAcentral.